RNAcentral lists this ribosomal RNA (273 nucleotides) under uncultured bacterium. Its description in RNAcentral is "partial 16S ribosomal RNA". It matches the Rfam family "Bacterial small subunit ribosomal RNA", at positions 523 to 796 of the family's 1533-position model. The record is from RNAcentral.
AUACGGAGGCUGCAAGCGUUAUCCGGAAUCAUUGGGUUUAAAGGGUCCGUAGGCGGGCGAUUAAGUCAGAGGUGAAAUCCCACAGCUCAACUGUGGAACUGCCUUUGAUACUGGUUGUCUUGAAUUUUAGUGAAGUAGAUAGAAUAUGUAGUGUAGCGGUGAAAUGCAUAGAUAUUACGUAGAAUACCGAUUGCGAAGGCAGUCUACUAACUAACAAUUGACGCUAAUGGACGAAGCGUGGGGAGCGAACAGGAUUAGAAACCCUAGUAGUCC